UAACAAAUUUGUGGUCUUGUGAUACUAGAUUUUUUCAGGUGAAUAGUGAAUUGAUCUUGUUUUCCUAGUGGAUUCAUAUCAAGAAAUUGUUUUUCUUCAAGAUGAUUGAAGGAAAUAAAUGAUCAUGUACUCUUCUGUAUUUACUGUUGAAAAUUCAAACACUUCUGUGUUUGAAUUGAAAAUGAUUUUCGCGAACGUUUUUCUGUGUAGCGUGCAUCGUCGUUUCAGCUGUCAACCAUUCUUGAGUGUUUGUCUGGUAACGUAUUUAAAGACAGACAGACCUGGCCUUGGUUUAAUUGUAGGUAGUGCUAACGGAACAAUAAAAUUUCUUCCAGUUAUAAAAUCUUCCACUGUUCAAGGACUGUACAACCUACUUUGUGUUGCAUAUGAUACAUUUUAACCUGCAGUAAGAUCUUAUGUGUAAUUAGAAUUUCUUUCGAUAAGUUCCUCCCCAAAAAUGAACCCACAAAAAAUGUAUUUUGAACUUAUUUAAGCUUAGGAUUUCACUUUCAGAAUUCAAUGGUAUGUACAUUAACAGGAUGUAAUCUUGUAAUAUUUGAUUGUGUUUUAGGCCUGUUUAUAUGUGAUUCUACUGUGGAGAACAGACUGGGAGAAGCAGUGCAAACUAGCACAGGAAAGAACAGGAGUUAAGUCUGCCUUGGGCCAAACGUGUGAGAAUUUAUUAAAUGGAGACAUUCACGAAAAAGAGUCAGAAUUGGUCCUUUCAAGCUGGAUUCACAAAUCUUCAUCCCUUCCAUUUCUGAGUCGCUUUGAUGCUAACGUGACUCAAUUCCAACCUUCUCUUCUGUUACGCGAUAUUAAUGGUCAACAUGAAUUCAUGUCACAAGGAAGUGAACCAAAUGCAGCAGUGUGUGAUGUUCAAGACAGAAACAGACUUACAUCGCUAGAUAAAAAGUCUUUGAUAAGAAAAAGACUUAUUCCCUUAAUUAUUUCUUUGUUGAUAUUAGGCACUGCUGUAGCCAUACAUCAUUUAGUUCCUUUGCCAUCGUCCCACGAGACGGCAUCACUUGGUAAUGACACCCUUGGUUUUAACAUGACUGGCAAUAACAUACGAAAUCCGUGACUUUAUCCAGUUACAUAGAAAGGUAAAAUUCUGGGCCUUUUUUGUUGUCAUGCAACUCUUUUCCUGAUAGAAAGAAAAAAGCUUUGUGUGAUGACACAAAUAACAGCUGCAACACAUGGAAGAUGAGGGGUGGGGUGGGUUAUACGCGUUAAUGAGUAUGUCAUAUCAAGAAAUGCUUUCCUGGUUAACUGGACAUGCUUUUUCUUGAAGUCUUUGAGGACCAAUCUCUUUUAUUCCCCUAGAUAUUUGAAAUAUUGUAAGAAUACAAAGCAUACAUUUUUCACACUAGAUCCAAUCUGCCGAGGUGAGAGGG
This is a long non-coding RNA of Orbicella faveolata, 1397 nucleotides long. Lineage: Eukaryota; Metazoa; Cnidaria; Anthozoa; Scleractinia; Merulinidae. The record is from RefSeq and is a predicted model, not a curated record.